RNAcentral lists this ribosomal RNA (339 nucleotides) under Coronella austriaca. RNAcentral describes it as "partial large subunit ribosomal RNA". It matches the Rfam family "Bacterial large subunit ribosomal RNA", at positions 2042 to 2593 of the family's 2925-position model. Lineage: Eukaryota; Metazoa; Chordata; Lepidosauria; Squamata; Colubridae. The record is from RNAcentral.
CUGAUCUCCUAGUAAAAAAGCUAGAAUUACAACAUAAGACCAGAAGACCCUGUGAAGCUUAAAUAAAACUAUUAAACCAUAUAAUAGCUACUUUCGGUUGGGGCGACCUUGGAAAAAAAAAGAACUUCCAAAUAAAAUGAAUAUACCUCAUUAUCUAAACAGGCCAACAAGCCAAAAACGACCCAGCACAGCUGAUAAUUGAACCAAGUUACUCCAGGGAUAACAGCGCAAUCUUCUUCAAGAGCCCAUAUCAAAAAGAAGGUUUACGACCUCGAUGUUGGAUCAGGACAUCCUAAUGGUGCAGCCGCUAUUAAGGGUUCGUUUGUUCAACGAUUAAUA